GGACUACAAGGGUAUCUAAUCCUGUUCGCUCCCCACGCUUUCGCUCCUCAGCGUCAGUUGUGGCCCAGAGACCUGCCUUCGCCAUCGGUGUUCCUCCUGAUAUCUGCGCAUUCCACCGCUACACCAGGAAUUCCAGUCUCCCCUACCACACUCUAGUCUGCCCGUACCCACUGCAGGCCCGAGGUUGAGCCUCGGGAUUUCACAGCAGACGCGACAAACCGCCUACGAGCUCUUUACGCCCAAUAAUUCCGGACAACGCUUGCGCCCUACGUAUUACCGCGGCGGCUGGCACG
Molecule: unclassified non-coding RNA, 293 nt
Filed under: uncultured fungus
Lineage: Eukaryota; Fungi
Description: sequence contains ITS1
Source: RNAcentral